Molecule: ribosomal RNA, 255 nt
Filed under: uncultured bacterium
Lineage: Bacteria
Description: partial 16S ribosomal RNA
Rfam family: Bacterial small subunit ribosomal RNA
Source: RNAcentral
GACGUAGGGCGCGAGCGUUGUCCGGAUUUAUUGGGCGUAAAGAGCUCGUAGGUGGUUUUGUCGCGUUGUCCGUGAAAAACUCACAACUCAAUUGUGGGCGUGCGGGCGAUACGGGCAGACUGGAGUACUGCAGGGGAGACUGGAAUUCCUGGUGUAGCGGUGGAAUGCGCAGAUAUCAGGAGGAACACCGGUGGCGAAGGCGGGUCUCUGGGCCGAUACUGACGCUGAGGAGCGAAAGCGUGGGGAGCGAACAGG